This 253-nucleotide ribosomal RNA is filed under the name uncultured bacterium. RNAcentral describes it as "partial 16S ribosomal RNA". It matches the Rfam family "Bacterial small subunit ribosomal RNA", at positions 524 to 776 of the family's 1533-position model. The record is from RNAcentral.
UACGAAGGGGGCUAGCGUUGCUCGGAAUCACUGGGCGUAAAGCGCACGUAGGCGGAUUGCUAAGUCAGGGGUGAAAUCCUGGAGCUCAACUCCAGAACUGCCUUUGAUACUGGCGAUCUUGAGUCCGGGAGAGGUGAGUGGAACUGCGAGUGUAGAGGUGAAAUUCGUAGAUAUUCGCAAGAACACCGAUGGCGAAGGCAGUUCUCUGGGCCGUAACUGACGCUGAGGAGCGAAAGCGUGGGGAGCGAACAGG